GGUCUAAUUGCGGAGAGGUCCGCGCCUGCAUUACAUGCAUGGUUGUUCGUUCAAGCUUAUUGCACGUGCAGGAUACGCCCGUUCGACUCGGGCUUGGACCG
Non-coding RNA from Mycena latifolia, 101 nucleotides. The record is from the annotation of a GenBank genome assembly. NCBI's taxonomy places the organism in Eukaryota, Fungi, Basidiomycota, Agaricomycetes, Agaricales, Mycenaceae.